UACAGAGGUCCCGAGCGUUGUUCGGAUUCACUGGGCGUAAAGGGUGCGUAGGUGGUGAGGUAAGUCGGAUGUGAAAUCUCGGAGCUCAACUCCGAAACUGCAUUGGAAACUACCUUGCUAGAGGGUUGGAGGGGGGACUGGAAUACUUGGUGUAGCAGUGAAAUGCGUAGAUAUCAAGUGGAACACCAGUGGCGAAGGCGAGUCCCUGGACAACUCCUGACACUGAGGCACGAAAGCUAGGGGAGCAAACAGG
RNAcentral lists this ribosomal RNA (253 nucleotides) under uncultured bacterium. RNAcentral's name for it is "partial 16S ribosomal RNA". It matches the Rfam family "Bacterial small subunit ribosomal RNA", at positions 524 to 776 of the family's 1533-position model. The record is from RNAcentral.